This 484-nucleotide ribosomal RNA is filed under the name uncultured bacterium. RNAcentral's name for it is "partial 16S ribosomal RNA". The stretch from base 52 to 484 matches the Rfam family "Bacterial small subunit ribosomal RNA", at positions 35 to 507 of the family's 1533-position model. The record is from RNAcentral.
GGGGGGGGGGGGGGGGGGGGGUGGGGGGGGGGGGGGGGGGGGGGGGGGGGGGCUUGCGGCGGGGGUCAGCGGGGGACGGGGGAGGGAUGCCUAGGAAUCUGCCUGGGAGUGGGGGAGAACGUCCGGAAACGGGCGCUGAUACCGCAUACGUCCUGAGGGGGAAAGUGGGGGAUCUUCGGACCUCACGCUAUCAGAUGAGCCUAGGUCGGAUUAGCUAGUUGGUGGGGUAAAGGCCUACCAAGGCGACGAUCCGUAACUGGUCUGAGAGGAUGAUCAGUCACACUGGAACUGAGGCACGGUCCAGACUCCUACGGGAGGCAGCAGUGGGGAAUAUUGGACAAUGGGCGAAGGCCUGAUCCAGCCGUGCCGCGUGUGUGAAGAAGGUCUUCGGAUUGUAAAGCACUUUAAGUUGGGAGGAAGGGCAGUAAGUUAAUACCUUGCUGUUUUGGCGUUACCAACAGAAUAAGCUCCGGCUAACUUCGUG